UGGGGGAUAUUGCACAAUGGAGGAAACUCUGAUGCAGCGACGCCGCGUGAGGGAAGACGGUCUUCGGAUUGUAAACCUCUGUCUUUGGGGACGAUAAUGACGGUACCCAAGGAGGAAGCUCCGGCUAACUACGUGCCAGCAGCCGCGGUAAUACGUAGGGAGCGAGCGUUGUCCGGAAUUACUGGGUGUAAAGGGAGCGUAGGCGGGGUCUCAAGUCGAAUGUUAAAUCUACCGGCUCAACUGGUAGCUGCGUUCGAAACUGGGGCUCUUGAGUGAAGUAGAGGCAGGCGGAAUUCCUAGUGUAGCGGUGAAAUGCGUAGAUAUUAGGAGGAACACCAGUGGCGAAGGCGGCCUGCUGGGCUUUUACUGACGCUGAGGCUCGAAAGCGUGGGGAGCAAACA
This 401-nucleotide ribosomal RNA is filed under the name uncultured bacterium. RNAcentral describes it as "bacterial SSU rRNA". It matches the Rfam family "Bacterial small subunit ribosomal RNA", at positions 355 to 774 of the family's 1533-position model. The record is from RNAcentral.